Molecule: ribosomal RNA, 402 nt
Filed under: uncultured bacterium
Lineage: Bacteria
Description: bacterial SSU rRNA
Rfam family: Bacterial small subunit ribosomal RNA
Source: RNAcentral
GGGGGAAUUUUGGACAAUGGGCGAAAGCCUGAUCCAGCCAUGCCGCGUGAGUGAAGAAGGCCUUCGGGUUGUAAAGCUCUUUUAGUCGGAAAGAAAGAGUCGCAAUGAAUAAUUGUGAUUUAUGACGGUACCGACAGAAAAAGCACCGGCUAACUACGUGCCAGCAGCCGCGGUAAUACGUAGGGUGCGAGCGUUAAUCGGAAUUACUGGGCGUAAAGGGUGCGCAGGCGGUUUUGCAAGUCAGAUGUGAAAGCCCCGGGCUUAACCUGGGAAUUGCGUUUGAAACUACAAGGCUAGAGUGCAGCAGAGGGGAGUGGAAUUCCAUGUGUAGCAGUGAAAUGCGUAGAGAUGUGGAAGAACACCGAUGGCGAAGGCAGCUCCCUGGGUUGACACUGACGCUCA